ACAGUAGCUCAGUGGUAGAGCUAUCGGCUGUUAACCGAUCGGUCGCAGGUUCGAAUCCUGCCUGU
Molecule: transfer RNA, 65 nt
Filed under: Bacillus licheniformis
Lineage: Bacteria; Bacillati; Bacillota; Bacilli; Caryophanales; Bacillaceae
Description: tRNA-Asn
Rfam family: tRNA
About the family: Transfer RNA (tRNA) molecules are approximately 80 nucleotides in length. Their secondary structure includes four short double-helical elements and three loops (D, anti-codon, and T loops). Further hydrogen bonds mediate the characteristic L-shaped molecular structure. tRNAs have two regions of fundamental functional importance: the anti-codon, which is responsible for specific mRNA codon recognition, and the 3' end, to which the tRNAs corresponding amino acid is attached (by aminoacyl-tRNA synthetases). tRNAs cope with the degeneracy of the genetic code in two manners: having more than one tRNA (with a specific anti-codon) for a particular amino acid; and 'wobble' base-pairing, i.e. permitting non-standard base-pairing at the 3rd anti-codon position.
Source: RNAcentral